GAGUUUGAUCGUGGCUCAGGACGAACGCUGGCGGCGUGCCUAAUACAUGCAAGUCGAGCGAAUCGAUAGGAGCUUGCUCCUGUUGGUUAGCGGCGGACGGGUGAGUAACACGUGGGCAACCCGCCUGUAAGACUGGGAUAACUUCGGGAAACCGGAGCUAAUACCGGAUAAUCCUUUUCCUCUCAUGAGGAAAAGCUGAAAGUCGGUUUCGGCUGACACUUACAGAUGGGCCCGCGGCGCAUUAGCUAGUUGGUGAGGUAACGGCUCACCAAGGCGACGAUGCGUAGCCGACCUGAGAGGGUGAUCGGCCACACUGGGACUGAGACACGGCCCAGACUCCUACGGGAGGCAGCAGUAGGGAAUCUUCCGCAAUGGACGAAAGUCUGACGGAGCAACGCCGCGUGAGCGAUGAAGG
RNAcentral lists this ribosomal RNA (415 nucleotides) under uncultured Bacillus sp. RNAcentral describes it as "bacterial SSU rRNA". It matches the Rfam family "Bacterial small subunit ribosomal RNA", at positions 9 to 414 of the family's 1533-position model. Lineage: Bacteria; Bacillati; Bacillota; Bacilli; Caryophanales; Bacillaceae. The record is from RNAcentral.